AUGGCUUCUUCCUCCUCCGUCUUCUCCCCGCUCCUGCGGCCUACACUCCGGCUGCCGGUCGCGUCGGUAACCACGCGCUCCUCUGUUCCCCACGCUGUGUCGGUGGACAACGCGGCCGCUGCCACGCAGCCGGCGCCGCUCGCGGUUGUCAGUCACAGGAGGGAGCUGGUGGUGGGAACAGCACUCGGCGCGCUGUUCUCGGCGACAACGUUGCCCGUAGGGGCGCGCGAGGUCGAGGCCGGCAAGUACCUGCCGCCGGCGCCGUCCAGCCCGGGCUUCGUGUUCUUCAAGGCCACCACCAAGGACACCCCUGCCCUCCGGGCUGGCAAUGUAGAACCUUACGAGUUCAUCCUACCGCCCACCUGGAAGCAGCUGCGAGUGGCCAACAUACUGUCCGGCAACUACUGCCAGCCCAAGUGCGCGGAGCCAUGGGUGGAGGUGAAAUUCGAGGACGAGAGGCAGGGCAAAGUGCAGGUGGUGGCCUCGCCGCUCAUCCGCCUGACCAACCGGCCGAACGCCACCAUCGAGGACAUCGGCAGCCCCGAGAAGCUGAUCGCCUCCCUGGGGCCCUUCGUCACCGGCAACACCUUGGAACCCGAGGAGAUCAUCGAGACCUCUGUCGAGAAGAUCGGCGACCUAACUUACUACAGCUAUGUGCUGGAGACUCCACUGGCACUGACGGGUUCCCACAAUCUGGCCAAGGCCACGGCCAAGGGGAGCACGGUGGUGCUCUUCGUCGCGAGCGCCAGCGACAAGCAGUGGCAGUCGUCGCAAAAGAUCCUGAAGGCUAUGGUAGAUUCAUUCCAAAUAUGA
Molecule: ribosomal RNA, 813 nt
Filed under: Triticum aestivum (bread wheat)
Lineage: Eukaryota; Viridiplantae; Streptophyta; Magnoliopsida; Poales; Poaceae
Description: partial small subunit ribosomal RNA
Source: RNAcentral